RNAcentral lists this ribosomal RNA (578 nucleotides) under uncultured bacterium. RNAcentral describes it as "bacterial SSU rRNA". It matches the Rfam family "Bacterial small subunit ribosomal RNA", at positions 102 to 676 of the family's 1533-position model. The record is from RNAcentral.
ACGGGUGAGUAAUGUCUGGGGAUCUGCCCGAUAGAGGGGGAUAACCACUGGAAACGGUGGCUAAUACCGCAUAACGUCGCAAGACCAAAGAGGGGGACCUUCGGGCCUCUCACUAUCGGAUGAACCCAGAUGGGAUUAGCUAGUAGGCGGGGUAAUGGCCCACCUAGGCGACGAUCCCUAGCUGGUCUGAGAGGAUGACCAGCCACACUGGAACUGAGACACGGUCCAGACUCCUACGGGAGGCAGCAGUGGGGAAUAUUGCACAAUGGGCGCAAGCCUGAUGCAGCCAUGCCGCGUGUAUGAAGAAGGCCUUCGGGUUGUAAAGUACUUUCAGCGGGGAGGAAGGCAGUGAGGUUAAUAACCUUACUGAUUGACGUUACCCGCAGAAGAAGCACCGGCUAACUCCGUGCCAGCAGCCGCGGUAAUACGGAGGGUGCAAGCGUUAAUCGGAAUUACUGGGCGUAAAGCGCACGCAGGCGGUCUGUUAAGUCAGAUGUGAAAUCCCCGGGCUUAACCUGGGAACUGCAUUUGAAACUGGCAGGCUUGAGUCUCGUAGAGGGGGGUAGAAUUCCAGGUGU